RNAcentral lists this ribosomal RNA (618 nucleotides) under uncultured bacterium. RNAcentral describes it as "partial 16S ribosomal RNA". It matches the Rfam family "Bacterial small subunit ribosomal RNA", at positions 896 to 1496 of the family's 1533-position model. The record is from RNAcentral.
UACACAAAAAAGAAAUUUGGGGGGGCCCCCCCCCAAAAGGGGGGGGGGCAUUGUGGUUUUUUUUUAAAGCAACCGGGAAAAACCCUUUCCGGGUUUUUUACACUCCCGGGGGCGGGGGGGCAAAGUUCCUUUUUCCUUUUGGGCCAUUUGAACAAGGGGGGGCAAUGGUUUUCUCAGCUCCGUUCGUAAAAAUUUUGGUUAAGUCCCCGCAACGGAGGGCACCCCCUAUUUCCAGUAGCAAGCAGAAAGAUGGGGAACUUUGAAGAGACUGCCCGGGGAUACUUGGGAGGAAGGCGGGGGAUGACGUCAANUCAUCAUGCCCCUUAUGAUCAGGGCUACACACGUGCUACAAUGGCGUAAACAAAGGGAAGCGAAGUGGUGACACGAAGCAAAUCCGAAAAACAACGUCUCAGUUCGGAUUGUAGUCUGCAACUCGACUACAUGAAGCUGGAAUCGCUAGUAAUCGCGAAUCAGAAUGUCGCGGUGAAUACGUUCCCGGGUCUUGUACACACCGCCCGUCACACCAUGGGAGUCGGAAAUGCCCGAAGUCAGUGACCCAACCGAGAGGAGGGAGCUGCCGAAGGUGGAGCCGGUAACUGGGGUGAAGUCGUAACAAGG